CGGCGGACGGGUGAGUAACACGUGGAUAACUUACCUAUAAGACUGGGAUAACUUCGGGAAACCGGAGCUAAUACCGGAUAAUAUAUUGAACCGCAUGGUUCAAUAGUGAAAGACGGUUUUGCUGUCACUUAUAGAUGGAUCCGCGCCGCAUUAGCUAGUUGGUAAGGUAACGGCUUACCAAGGCAACGAUGCGUAGCCGACCUGAGAGGGUGAUCGGCCACACUGGAACUGAGACACGGUCCAGACUCCUACGGGAGGCAGCAGGC
RNAcentral lists this ribosomal RNA (266 nucleotides) under uncultured Staphylococcus sp. RNAcentral's name for it is "partial 16S ribosomal RNA". It matches the Rfam family "Bacterial small subunit ribosomal RNA", at positions 96 to 354 of the family's 1533-position model. Lineage: Bacteria; Bacillati; Bacillota; Bacilli; Caryophanales; Staphylococcaceae. The record is from RNAcentral.